Molecule: ribosomal RNA, 208 nt
Filed under: uncultured bacterium
Lineage: Bacteria
Description: partial 16S ribosomal RNA
Rfam family: Bacterial small subunit ribosomal RNA
Source: RNAcentral
UGUGUAGGCGGCUGGAUAAGUCUGGCGUGAAAUCUUCACCGCUUAACGGGAAGGGGUCGCUGGAAACUGUUCAGCUUGAGUAUGGUAGAGGCAAACGGAAUUCCUGGUGUAGCGGUGGAGUGUGUAGAUAUCAGGAAGAACACCGGUGGCGAAGGCGGUUUGCUGGGCCAUCACUGACGCUGAGACACGAAAGCGUGGGGAGCAAACG